This 497-nucleotide ribosomal RNA is filed under the name uncultured bacterium. RNAcentral's name for it is "partial 16S ribosomal RNA". It matches the Rfam family "Bacterial small subunit ribosomal RNA", at positions 28 to 507 of the family's 1533-position model. The record is from RNAcentral.
GAUGAACGCUGGCGGCGUGCCUAAUACAUGCAAGUCGAGCGAACAGAUGAGGAGCUUGCUCCUCUGACGUUAGCGGCGGACGGGUGAGUAACACGUGGAUAACCUACCUAUAAGACUGGGAUAACUUCGGGAAACCGGAGCUAAUACCGGAUAAUAUAUUGAACCGCAUGGUUCAAUAGUGAAAGACGGUUUUGCUGUCACUUAUAGAUGGAUCCGCGCCGCGUUAGCUAGUUGGUAAGGUAACGGCUUACCAAGGCAACGAUGCGUAGCCGACCUGAGAGGGUGAUCGGCCACACUGGAACUGAGACACGGUCCAGACUCCUACGGGAGGCAGCAGUAGGGAAUCUUCCGCAAAGGGCGAAAGCCUGACGGAGCAACGCCGCGUGAGUGAUGAAGGUCUUCGGAUCGUAAAACUCUGUUAUUAGGGAAGAACAAAUGUGUAAGUAACUAUGCACGUCUUGACGGUACCUAAUCAGAAAGCCACGGCUAACUACGUG